This 440-nucleotide ribosomal RNA is filed under the name uncultured bacterium. Its description in RNAcentral is "partial 16S ribosomal RNA". It matches the Rfam family "Bacterial small subunit ribosomal RNA", at positions 338 to 795 of the family's 1533-position model. The record is from RNAcentral.
CCUACGGGAGGCAGCAGUGGGGAAUAUUGCACAAUGGGGGAAACCCUGAUGCAGCGACGCCGCGUGAGUGAAGAAGUAUUUCGGUAUGUAAAGCUCUAUCAGCAGGGAAGAAAAUGACGGUACCUGAUCAAGAAGCACCGGCUAACUACGUGCCAGCAGCCGCGGUAAUACGUAGGGGGCAAGCGUGAUCCGGAUUUACUGGGUGGAAAGGGAGCGUAGACGGCAGCACAAGUCUGGAGUGAAAUGCCGGGGCUUAACCCCGGAACUGCUUUGGAAACUGUGCAGCUAGAGUGCAGGAGAGGUGAGUGGAAUUCCUGGUGUAGCUGUGAAAUGCGUAGAUAUUAGGAGGAACACCAGUGGCGAAGGCGGCUUACUGGACUGUAACUGACGUUGAGGCUCGAAAGCGUGGGGAGCAAACAGGAUUAGAUACCCGUGUAGUC